This is a non-coding RNA of Lolium perenne, 2757 nucleotides long. Lineage: Eukaryota; Viridiplantae; Streptophyta; Magnoliopsida; Poales; Poaceae. The record is from RefSeq and is a predicted model, not a curated record.
UUUAUUUAUACCUAUAUAAAAGUUAACCCCUUUUGCUCCAAGGAGAGCGUUUUUGGUCAUGUUCACGUAGCUAUUUUAUCCAAUCAAACCGUGCCACGAUAGAGAUUUUUACUGUAGAUGGAGACCGGUAACUGUAGAUCAUUUAUCUCUGGGAUUUGUUUCUCCUUUUUUUCCGCGUGAGAAAUCCGUGAUGACCGGCUCCUUCCCGGUAUUCCCACUUUAUAGCUUCCGGUAAUCGCUCUCUCUCCUCCUUUUGUUCACCUUCAGUUACCGGUCAACCGGUUUAUUUCCCACGAUGGAUUGGUCAAAGCGGUGUUGCCAUCUCCAGAACAAUCCAGGUCCUCUUCCUUGCCAAUCCCCACCGCUGCUCUCUUCCUCCCCAAUUCUCAUCGCUCAAGUUCCAAAAAAAAAAUCCCAUCGCUGCCACUCGAGUGCUCCACCCGGUGGGGCGGCGUCCCAUCUCCCUCCAUGGCUGCCGUGUCUGUACCGACGUAUCAAGGUUGAACAUCCCCAGGACGAGCUCCUAUGUGCCUUGGCCCUGCUGUGUCUAGACAGCUGCAGCUCCCCACGACCUCGCCGGUUCGUCCGAUCUAUGCCUGCUCGGCAUGUAGCAACACAACCUUCUUCCCCCACUCCUCGGGCGCCAUCGCCGUCGACGCAUACUGUACCAAGAGUCACACAGGGUGCGCUGGGUUCAUCCCGCUCCUUCGAGCUGGGGAACACCCACAGGUUGAGGUGGCAUGGCUCCGCCAUCACCAUCGUCAGCCAGGUACACUUCAUCGGCCGUCGGUGCACUAUCAUCGGUUCAGAGGAGGAUAGGCGGAGCCUGGCAGGAUCAAGAUGCUUUCUGCGGUGGUGUAUCAUCUGUGCCAUCCUCUUCUGGAUUGUUUUCUUCAUUUGUUCCUUACUUUUCUCUACGGGUUUAUCAGUUUGUUGCUUUCUGCUCCCUAAAGAAGAUUUUACUUUGUGAUGUAGGCCAUUGGUGUUUCUCAGCGGCACCUAGCUAUUGUUAGUCCAGCGCCAUAGCGCUCUGCCAUCAAGCUGGGUAUCCGAUGAGUGCAGGUCAUCUUUACAGGCCAUCAGUGCUGAAGACACACCCUACUAUCCAAUAUUUGAUUACCCCUACAUGGAAGCAGAUGUGAAGCUAACCCAAUUUAAUAACUGUUUUUUCAAUAGGAAUCCAGAUCGUGGAAAAAUUAUAUCCUUUUCUUCCCAAGAUCACUGCAAUUCAGCUCCGUACAUGAUAGCCUGUAUUUUGUGUGCUAAUUAUGUUGUUCCAUUAUAGAUGCCUAAUUCUGCUACCUGACAAACACAGUCAAAGUAGCUCUUAUUUGAUCCACUCUCCUAGCAUCAGAGGAAAAGAUAAUCUUGCAACAUUACUAUAUAUCAAAUGCCAAUAUCAGUAACUGUGCAAAAAUAAAACAGAAAGCAGUAGACAGGAAGUUCUUUUAUAAGAUAUUACAGGGAAACACAAUGAAGGAAUAUGUCCCAACCAAGAGCUUUCACCAACAAAGAGAACAACUGAAGGAAAGAACAACUUAUACAUUUGGGGAUGUUCACUUUUUCUCACAUGUUCUCACUUCUCUGCUUUGCUUUGAAGACAAAUAUUGGUACUAGCAUUCUUUUUCCAAGUAUUUUUUGGUAAUUUUAUUGCGCAUUACGAGUCAUCCUUUUUGUUACUUUGUCGGACAUGCCUUAUGAUAUUAAUGUGAGCUUCUGUUAUGUCCACAUAGUUGCAGAUGACUUGCCAUUUGAUCAGUGUGUUGGAUACUUUAGUUCAUACUAAGGGAGCUUAUUGCGUGUUCAGCGACAGCCGACUGUACCUAAUCCUAUCAAGAAAAAGAUGUUGGAAGAAAACUUAGCUCUGUGGCGAUAGAUACAAUAGAGUCCUAGCCGUCGGUUCCCAAAUGUGGCAGCAAAUCCAAGACUGUGUUAUCUUCAAAGCUUUGAGAGAAGAAAAUACUCUGUUCAGAUUCUCAGAUUUUAGUUGUCGUACCGACCUAUUCAUGUGCUCAUGUUUUUUUUAUGUUAUUUAGAAAAAAUGAAUCCAUCUAAAUGCUACUGUGGUAAGUUCCUGAACAUUAUUCAGUCUCAAAAUUUCCAUUGAUAUAUCCAUUAUAGGGGCUAAUCAUCUGGAAUCUUUUGCACAAAUAAGACUAUGUUUAUGCAGCCUAUCCAACCUUCUAUCCACUACCGCCUGCAGUCAAGAUUCUCAGAUUUUAGUUGUCUGUACUAUACCGACCUAUCCAUGUGCUCAUGUUUUUUUAUGCUAUUUAGAAAAAAUGAAUCCAUCUAAAUGCUACUGUGGAACAAGACCAUGUUUAUGCAGCCUAUCCAACCUUCUAUCCACUACCGCCUGCAGAACAAGACCAUGUUUAUGCAGCCUAUCCAACCUUCUAUCCACUACCGCCUGCAGUUAUUCAGUACUAAAACUACUCACGGAAUGCCUCCAAUUUGUCACGGCAUGUCUACUUGGAGACACAAUGUGAUCAGUUCCUACUUGCAAGCACAAUGUGAUAAGUUUAGACAAUGCCUAGAAUGUGUUACAUGCAUUUCUUAUUAGUGAUGCACAUCAAGUCAAGGCAUAAUUGGAGUCCCAAAUUUUGCAUCUCACGUUGUUGUUAAAAAAUGUGACCAAUUAGUCUACUAAUUAAUACAAAACAUCUAUAGAUUGCCUGGUUUAAGUUCUGUCACUUUACUCAGCAUCUGUAUAAUGGCAUCUUUUCUUGCCUCUCCGGUAUUUUGUUUAUAUAUUGA